This 1454-nucleotide ribosomal RNA is filed under the name uncultured organism. RNAcentral's name for it is "SSU rRNA". It matches the Rfam family "Bacterial small subunit ribosomal RNA". The record is from RNAcentral.
GAUGAACGCUAGCUACAGGCUUAACACAUGCAAGUCGAGGGGCAGCAUUUCUGUUUGCUUGCAAACUGGAGAUGGCGACCGGCGCACGGGUGAGUAACACGUAUCCAACCAGCCGAUAACUUGGGGAUAGCCUUUCGAAAGAAAGAUUAAUACCCGAUGGUAUAAUCAGACCGCAUGGUCUUGUUAUUAAAGAAUUUCGGUUAUCGAUGGGGAUGCGUUCCAUUAGGCAGUUGGUGAGGUAACGGCUCACCAAACCUUCGAUGGAUAGGGGUUCUGAGAGGAAGGUCCCCCACAUUGGAACUGAGACACGGUCCAAACUCCUACGGGAGGCAGCAGUGAGGAAUAUUGGUCAAUGGGCGCAGGCCUGAACCAGCCAAGUAGCGUGAAGGAUGACUGCCCUAUGGGUUGUAAACUUCUUUUAUAUGGGAAUAAAGUUUUCCACGUGUGGAAUUUUGUAUGUACCAUAUGAAUAAGGAUCGGCUAACUCCGUGCCAGCAGCCGCGGUAAUACGGAGGAUCCGAGCGUUAUCCGGAUUUAUUGGGUUUAAAGGGAGCGUAGGUGGACAGUUAAGUCAGUUGUGAAAGUUUGCGGCUCAACCGUAAAAUUGCAGUUGAUACUGGCUGUCUUGAGUACAGUAGAGGUGGGCGGAAUUCGUGGUGUAGCGGUGAAAUGCUUAGAUAUCACGAAGAACUCCGAUUGCGAAGGCAGCUCACUGGACUGCAACUGACACUGAUGCUCGAAAGUGUGGGUAUCAAACAGGAUUAGAUACCCUGGUAGUCCACACAGUAAACGAUGAAUACUCGCUGUUUGCGAUAUACAGUAAGCGGCCAAGCGAAAGCAUUAAGUAUUCCACCUGGGGAGUACGCCGGCAACGGUGAAACUCAAAGGAAUUGACGGGGGCCCGCACAAGCGGAGGAACAUGUGGUUUAAUUCGAUGAUACGCGAGGAACCUUACCCGGGCUUAAAUUGCAUUUGAAUAUAUUGGAAACAGUAUAGCCGUAAGGCAAAUGUGAAGGUGCUGCAUGGUUGUCGUCAGCUCGUGCCGUGAGGUGUCGGCUUAAGUGCCAUAACGAGCGCAACCCUUAUCUUUAGUUACUAACAGGUCAUGCUGAGGACUCUAGAGAGACUGCCGUCGUAAGAUGUGAGGAAGGUGGGGAUGACGUCAAAUCAGCACGGCCCUUACGUCCGGGGCUACACACGUGUUACAAUGGGGGGUACAGAAGGCAGCUACCUGGUGACAGGAUGCUAAUCCCAAAAGCCUCUCUCAGUUCGGAUCGAAGUCUGCAACCCGACUUCGUGAAGCUGGAUUCGCUAGUAAUCGCGCAUCAGCCAUGGCGCGGUGAAUACGUUCCCGGGCCUUGUACACACCGCCCGUCAAGCCAUGAAAGCCGGGGGUACCUGAAGUACGUAACCGCAAGGAGCGUCCUAGGGUAAAACUGGUAAUUGGGGCUAAG